Molecule: long non-coding RNA, 765 nt
Filed under: Olea europaea subsp. europaea
Lineage: Eukaryota; Viridiplantae; Streptophyta; Magnoliopsida; Lamiales; Oleaceae
Source: RNAcentral
GUCCAACUUAUUAGUUUGGUCCAGGGAAAUUCUUUGUAAUCCUUCAUAAUUGGUGAAUUCUCCUCUUCUGUCCAUGAUUUUUUCCAAAUUAGGUUACAACGUAAAUGUUGUGCUCUAGUUAUUAAUUUUCUUAUUGCUUACUCUAGUAUUUCGUAACAAACUAGUAUCGUAAAAAAAAUGGUAUUGGCUCAUUUUCUAAUGGGUUUUAAUUGCAUGUUUAGUCGCUAAUCAAACAUUUUAAUACAUCAUAAAUUAUUUAUUAGUCACAAAUUUUCCAAUUAAUUUGUCAUAAUCAAUUUCACUUCAUCUCAACUUUACCCCAGUUGACUAUACAACAAUAAGCAUCACCCAAAUCAUGGCCUUCACCUCAAAACCACAACCACAACCACCACCACCACCACCACCACCAUAUCCUCGUCUAACUCACCACCACUACAACCAAAUGCAACCUCAGAUCCACAACCACAACUACAACAACAACAAUUACGACAACCAUUACCUCCUCCACCUCACAUCCAACUCACCACCACCACCACCUCCCCAAUUAACACAUCGUCACAUCACUAUCUUCACCUUAAAAACACCGUACUACAAUAAACCGUCCUUGUGUUCUGUAGAUUGGCAAGAAUGUUUCAUUAGAGAAUGAAGACGCAACAACAAUAAAGUAAGCUACAAAGCUAUCGGAACUCAUUCCAACAACAUAGUAUUUCUAAAUCCCUAAUUUUUUGAAAUGAUUCGGUGGGGACCAAACCCUUGAAUAAGGAU